CAGCCCAUUAACGUCCCCACUGCUGGGGCACGGGCCUUCCCUAUGGAUGGAUAGGGAGAUCGGGCCUUAAACCACCACGCGGGCCCAGUGCGGAUUGAUGGUUAUUAACGACUGCUAAUGCAGCCGGGACCAACGGCUUAACGUGCCUUCCGAAGCACGGAGGAGCUCGAGAUGAAAACUUUUUUGUGGUCACCCAUCCUAUGACCGGCCUUUGCGAAAGUUGCUUAACUUCAACAAUCGCAGACCGAGCGCGUUUACCGCUGCGCCACCGAGCUCCUCAAUUUGAUCUAUUGAUCAUUUAUAUCAACUGUAAUUUUCUUGGCACGUCCACUAUCAAACCAGAGGUGACAGCUAGGUCAAUCCCCGAUCGUUUUUAGGGUCUGUGAAGACCUUUUUUCUCGGGAAUACAUGGAGAUAUCAAAUUGAAAUUGACAUCUCGAUAAUACUUAAGUUUGCGGUCACUUGAA
Long non-coding RNA from Pectinophora gossypiella (pink bollworm), 467 nucleotides. RefSeq lists it as uncharacterized. The transcript has 2 exons. The record is from RefSeq and is a predicted model, not a curated record. Lineage: Eukaryota; Metazoa; Arthropoda; Insecta; Lepidoptera; Gelechiidae.